UACAGAGGUCUCAAGCGUUGUUCGGAAUCACUGGGCGUAAAGGGUGCGUAGGUGGCGUGGUCAGUCAGAUGUGAAAGCCCGGGGCUCAACCUCGGAAUUGCAUCCGAUACUACCAUGCUAGAGUACUGAAGAGGUGACUAGAAUUCUCGGUGUAGCAGUGAAAUGCGUAGAUAUCGAGAGGAAUACCAACGGCGAAGGCAGGUCACUGGGCAGUUACUGACACUGAGGCACGAAAGCUAGGGGAGCGAAUGGG
Molecule: ribosomal RNA, 253 nt
Filed under: uncultured bacterium
Lineage: Bacteria
Description: partial 16S ribosomal RNA
Rfam family: Bacterial small subunit ribosomal RNA
Source: RNAcentral